UUUUUUUUUACUGUUAAUGAUACUUAGAGAGGAGAAAAGAACUGGAAGAACUUAGCAUGAAAGUUAUUCUAAAAAUGGUUUACCCUGGGCUAUUUCAAAGAUCUAAUAAUUUUGUAGCUGUUUGACCCUCUGUUGUUCUUUCUUCUCCUAUGGAUUCUAGACCCAAAGUCCUCCACAGGCCUUCCCGACUAGGAAAAGAAAAAGGACAGAAGAGAGGAGUGAAAAGGAACAGUGGGCCAUCAGGAGAGAAGUGAACAAGUAGUCAACUCUAAGGUUCAUGAAUAAUGAACUACUAUGCUACCCCCUGAAGAAGUAUAGGAUAAAGUAAAGAUAUUGGACAACCAUCAUCAUUCCAGGACUAUUAUCCUGAUAUUCAGAGAAGGUGUACAACAUAGUGACUCAACACUUCCACACAACAGCCGUUGCUCAUCACAAGUGUACUUCCUCACCCCCAUCACCAAAUACAGGAUCAGAAGGCUUACAAAUAUGGUGAUGGACGUGCUCAAAGUUAUAACGAAAGCAUCAACUUUAACUCAUGGACGUAAGGGAAUCAGCUGGCCCUACUUGAUGAGAAGAAAUGAUAGAGAAAAGCACACAAGUCAGUAAAUGGCUGAGGAAGGAAUGUGAGAGAUUGUGGUUAAAAUUAUGAUGGCAGUGAGUAUGCUCAAGAGUUCCUUUAAAGUGACAAGCCUUAGGGUGCCUGGGUGGCUCAGUUUGUUGAGCGUUUGACUCUUGAUUCUGCUCAGGUCAUGAUCCCGGUGUUGUGCGAUCAAGCUCCUAGUCGGACUCUAUGCUGAAUGUGGAGUCUGCUUAAGAUUCUCUCCCCACCCCAUCUCCCAUCUCCUCCCAUCUCUCCCCUUCCUCUACUUGCUCCUCUCCCCACCCCCCCACUCCUCUCCUCCUUGCACCUCUCCCCUGUGGUGUGCUCUCUCUCUCUGAAAAAUGAAAUAAAUCUUUUAAAAAAAUGACAAGCCUCAACAGUAACAAGUAUUGCUGAAGAUGGAAAGAAACUAAAUCCCUUAUUCAUAGCUAAUCUUAGUUCACCAUUUUAAUUUUAUUCAUUAUUAUUAUUUAUUUUUGUUGUUGCAAAACGUUUCGUUGUUUUCUCUUGGUCCACAGCUUGGGAGAGGGUUCCAGAAUGGUUAAGAAGCUGUCUUGUGGCUGAAGGCAGAGGCUCGAGCAGAAGCCCCAACACCAAGAGGAGGUGGUGGCGGCGGGGGGGGCGGGGGCGGCUCAUGGGGAAGGGUAGAUGUGCCUCAAAUGCUAUGCUUCUUCAGAGCCUCCUAGUCAUACUUGAAGGUGAGCCUUUCAAAGAGAUACUUAUCCAGCCCGGGUGCCACUGGCCUGAGGAGAUAGUAAGGUAGUUGCUUUCUUCCUAAAGAGUUCCACCUGCUCAUGUAGUUAGUAGUUCUCUGGGAAGUCCCAGAACUGCAUGGGCAGAUCCAGAAUGCCCAGAUCUCAAAGGUCCCUGGUCAGUUUCUCCAGAAUCAUAGUGACUCCCAUGGCAUUCAGGUUUUACCCCCACUCAUCUUGGAAUGGCUUCUGCAUGUUCUGGAAGAAGGCACAGCUCUGGCACUGGUUUUGCAUCUUUGAGAGAUACUUGGCUCUUUCUUGCUUUCUCUUAGCUAACUUUGGAAGAAGUGACUCUCCAGGGCCACAUCUCAUGGUCAAAAUAGAAGCGCAGAUAAAGGUAGGUGUAGGAGGCCCACAGAUCCAUUUUGAUGAUGCAGUUGACAGGAACCUUCACCUCAGUGGAAUAAUUCUGUUGAAUCUGGGAAGUCAUGGGUAAUAGGCAGUAAGGAGUUAAACUCAAAAUAUGGUGUUCACUGGUCCCAGAGACAGAGGAUGGCAGAGAAGACGGUUCUGAAAAGACGGUGGUUGGAGGCUGGAAGAAAGGACAAAUCCAGGUCUCUUCUACACAAACACUGUUGAAACAAGAGAUCUCCAGGACCUCCUGAAUGGUAGUUCAGCCAUUUUCGAAAAGACUCUGGCAGUUCUUCAAAAGUUUAAACAUAGAAUUACCAUAAGACCCAGUAAUUUCCCUCCUACCUACAUACCUGUUAUGAACUUAGCUGCAAUGAAUUCACUGCCACCACAGGCCUAGAAGAGAUAGGCCUGAGGAGCAAGGCCUUCUACUCCUCAGUUACAGAAAGUGGAGCCACCUUCUUGGUUUCAGUAGGCCAGGCUGUUCCUGACCAGGGUUUCCAGGGCAAGGCCUAGCCCAUGGCUGAGAGGGUAUGGCCACCACCCAGAGCCAAAGGGAUGGCUAUGCUUUCCAGAAAAGCCUCACUAGUGGGCCUGGAAGGAGUGGCCACCAUCCUGGUGGAACCCACAGGACAGAACAUCUAGUCAGAGAAGAUUUUGGAGCCAUAACUUCUAAUGGAAUUUUCCAUGGUAGGUUUUAGAUUUUCUCAUGACCUGUCACUUCUUUCUUUGUUACAAGGUCUCCCUUUUGGAAAAGAAUCUCUAGCCUCUGCCUGUCCUACCAUCUUAUUUUGGAAGAACUUAUCUGGUUUCAUAGGUUCACAGGUGGAGAGGAAUUUUUCCUCAAGGUCAUAACUUAAGUUUCAUUUAUGCUUGAUCUAGAUAAUAUUUAGAUGAGACUUUGUACUUGGUGUUGAUGCUGAAGUAGGUUAAGGCUUUUGGGGCUGAAAAGAUGAGGUGAAUGUAUUUUGCAUGUAACAUGGGUGUGAGUUUAAUGAGAGGAUGACAUAAUGUGGAAUGUUGUGGAUUGAAUUGUCCCCCUUUCUAAUACAUAGAUUGAAGCCCUAACCCCCAUUGUGACUAAAAUUGGAGAAUAGGACUUUAUUAAUAAGGUAAUUGAGAUUAGAUGAGGUAAUAAAAAUAAGAUCCUAAUCUAGUUCAACUGGGAUCCUUAUAAGAAGAGUAAGAGAGGGGUCCCUUGGCUGCUUAGCUGUUUAGGCGUCUAACUCCUGGUUUCAGCUGACGUCAUGAUCUCACUAUUUGUGAGAUUGAGCCUAGAGUCGGGCUCCAUCCUGACAGCACAAGAUUUUCUUGCAAUUCUCUCUCUCCCUCUCUCUCUGUGCCUUUCCCCUACUCAUGUUCUCUUUCUCUCUCUCUCUCUG
Acinonyx jubatus (cheetah) is the source of this 3086-nucleotide long non-coding RNA. RefSeq lists it as uncharacterized. The transcript is spliced from 5 exons. The record is from RefSeq and is a predicted model, not a curated record. NCBI's taxonomy places the organism in Eukaryota, Metazoa, Chordata, Mammalia, Carnivora, Felidae.